CCUACGGGAGGCAGCAGUGAGGAAUAUUGGUCAAUGGGCUUACGCCUGAACCAGCCAAGUCGCGUGAGGGAAGACUGCCCUAUGGGUUGUAAACCUCUUUUGUCAGGGAGCAACGCCGGCUACGUGUAGCCGGACUGAGAGUACCUGAAGAAAAAGCAUCGGCUAACUCCGUGCCAGCAGCCGCGGUAAUACGGGGGAUGCGAGCGUUAUCCGGAUUUAUUGGGUUUAAAGGGUGCGUAGGCGGAAUGCCAAGUCAGCGGGAAAAUCGCGGGGCUCAACCUCGCUCCGCCGUUGAAACUGGCGUUCUUGAGUGGGCGGGAGGUAUGCGGAAUGCGUGGUGUAGCGGUGAAAUGCAUAGAUAUCACGCAGAACUCCGAUUGCGAAGGCAGCAUACCGGCGCCCAACUGACGCUGAAGCACGAAAGCGUGGGUAUCGAACAGGAUUAGAUACCCUUGUAGUC
Molecule: ribosomal RNA, 460 nt
Filed under: uncultured bacterium
Lineage: Bacteria
Description: partial 16S ribosomal RNA
Rfam family: Bacterial small subunit ribosomal RNA
Source: RNAcentral